RNAcentral lists this unclassified non-coding RNA (295 nucleotides) under fungal sp. RNAcentral describes it as "partial internal transcribed spacer region". The stretch from base 1 to 46 matches the Rfam family "Eukaryotic small subunit ribosomal RNA", at positions 1786 to 1831 of the family's 1831-position model. The record is from RNAcentral. Lineage: Eukaryota; Fungi.
AAGUCGUAACAAGGUUUCCGUAGGUGAACCUGCGGAAGGAUCAUUAAUGAAAUGAAGUUUUUUUGGGUUUAUCCUAAAAAAAUAAUUCACCUUUUGUGCACUGUUAUUUAUAUAUACUUUGGUUAGAGCUUUGAUUUCAUUUUUUGAAGUCAACUUCUUGCUGACUCUCUAUCCUUUUUAAAGGACAGUUGGCUAUGAAGCGGCCUACCAAGGUUUUUUAUCAAACUCUUGUAUUUGUCUGACCUGUAAACAAAUAAUUAAAUCAUAACUUUCAACAACGGAUCUCUUGGCUCUC